GACGAACGCUGGCGGCGUGCCUAAUACAUGCAAGUAGAACGCACAGUCUAUACCGUAGCUUGCUACACCAUAGACUGUGAGUUGCGAACGGGGGAGUAACGCGAAUCUAACCUGUCGGGUAGCGGGGGGUAACUAUUGGUAACGAUAGCUAGUACCGCAUAAUAUUGAUUAUUGCAUGAUAAUUGAUUGCAAGCGGCUAUUGAAUCGCUGCCAUAGGGACCUGCGUUGGAUUAGGUAGUAGGGGAGGUAACGGCCCACCUAGGGGACGGUACAUAGCCGAGCUGGGAGGGUGGUCGGCCACACUGGGACUGGGACACGGCCCAGGCCCCUACGGGAGGCAGCCGGAGGGAAACUUCGGACAUUGACGAAAGUCUGACCGCGCAACGCCGCGGGAGGGAAGAAGGGUUUCGGGUUGUAAAGGUCUGUUGUAAGGGAAGAAAGGGUGUUAGAGUGGAACGUUGACACUGUGACGGUACCUUACCAGAAAGCGACGGCUAACUACGUG
This 505-nucleotide ribosomal RNA is filed under the name uncultured bacterium. RNAcentral describes it as "partial 16S ribosomal RNA". It matches the Rfam family "Bacterial small subunit ribosomal RNA", at positions 28 to 507 of the family's 1533-position model. The record is from RNAcentral.